RNAcentral lists this small RNA (68 nucleotides) under Bacillus sp. CECT 9360. Its description in RNAcentral is "Bacillaceae-1". It matches the Rfam family "Bacillaceae-1 RNA". The record is from RNAcentral. Lineage: Bacteria; Bacillati; Bacillota; Bacilli; Caryophanales; Bacillaceae.
AAGUAUGAAACAUCGACUAAAAUCUUCCACAUCGUGUGGCAAACGUCGAUGUCAGCCCAUCCUGGGCA